This 78-nucleotide transfer RNA is filed under the name Dierogekko thomaswhitei. RNAcentral's name for it is "tRNA-Trp". It matches the Rfam family "tRNA". Rfam says of the family: Transfer RNA (tRNA) molecules are approximately 80 nucleotides in length. Their secondary structure includes four short double-helical elements and three loops (D, anti-codon, and T loops). The record is from RNAcentral. Lineage: Eukaryota; Metazoa; Chordata; Lepidosauria; Squamata; Diplodactylidae.
UAACAAGAAAUUUAGGUUAAACACUUAAACCAAGAGCCUUCAAAGCCCUAAACAGGAGACCCAAACCCCCUAAUUUCU